AAGGCUUUAGCUUAAUUAAAGUGUCUGUUUUGCAUACAGGUGAUGUGGGUUAGUAUCCUGCAAGUCUUA
RNAcentral lists this transfer RNA (69 nucleotides) under Micropogonias undulatus (Atlantic croaker). RNAcentral describes it as "tRNA-Ala". It matches the Rfam family "tRNA". Rfam says of the family: Transfer RNA (tRNA) molecules are approximately 80 nucleotides in length. Their secondary structure includes four short double-helical elements and three loops (D, anti-codon, and T loops). RNAcentral also lists the same sequence under 3 other names. The record is from RNAcentral. Lineage: Eukaryota; Metazoa; Chordata; Actinopteri; Sciaenidae.